This 497-nucleotide ribosomal RNA is filed under the name uncultured bacterium. RNAcentral's name for it is "partial 16S ribosomal RNA". It matches the Rfam family "Bacterial small subunit ribosomal RNA", at positions 28 to 507 of the family's 1533-position model. The record is from RNAcentral.
GAUGAACGCUGGCGGCGUGCCUAAUACAUGCAAGUCGAGCGAACGGACGAGAAGCUUGCUUCUCUGAUGUUAGCGGCGGACGGGUGAGUAACACGUGGAUAACCUACCUAUAAGACUGGGAUAACUUCGGGAAACCGUAGCUAAUACCGGAUAAUAUUUUGAACCGCAUGGUUCAAAAGUGAAAGACGGUCUUGCUGUCACUUAUAGAUGGAUCCGCGCUGCAUUAGCUAGUUGGUAAGGUAACGGCUUACCAAGGCAACGAUGCAUAGCCGACCUGAGAGGGUGAUCGGCCACACUGGAACUGAGACACGGUCCAGACUCCUACGGGAGGCAGCAGUAGGGAAUCUUGCGCAAUGGGCGAAAGCCUGACGGAGCAACGCCGCGUGAGUGAUGAAGGUCUUCGGAUCGUAAAACUCUGUUAUUAGGGAAGAACAUAUGUGUAAGUAACUGUGCACAUCUUGACGGUACCUAAUCAGAAAGCCCCGGCUAACUACGUG